Molecule: ribosomal RNA, 468 nt
Filed under: uncultured bacterium
Lineage: Bacteria
Description: partial 16S ribosomal RNA
Rfam family: Bacterial small subunit ribosomal RNA
Source: RNAcentral
GACGAACGCUGGCGGCGUGCUUAACACAUGCAAGUCGAACGGAAAGGCCCUGCUUUUGUGGGGUGCUCGAGUGGCGAACGGGUGAGUAACACGUGAGUAACCUGCCCUUGACUUUGGGAUAACUUCAGGAAACUGGGGCUAAUACCGGAUAGGAGCUCCUGCUGCAUGGUGGGGGUUGGAAAGUUUCGGCGGUUGGGGAUGGACUCGCGGCUUAUCAGCUUGUUGGUGGGGUAGUGGCUUACCAAGGCUUUGACGGGUAGCCGGCCUGAGAGGGUGACCGGCCACAUUGGGCCUGAGAUACGGCCCAGACUCCUACGGGAGGCAGCAGUGGGGAAUAUUGCACAAUGGGCGGAAGCCUGAUGCAGCAACGCCGCGUGCGGGAUGACGGCCUUCGGGUUGUAAACCGCUUUCGCCUGUGCCGAAGCGUGAGUGACGGUAAUGGGUAAAGAAGCACCGGCUAACUACGUG